GCCAAAGAGCAGCCUCAUGGGAAGUGUAGUUCUCGACCUUCGGCUUACAUCUCACUUUUCAGCACCAACCCCUGGGAUGCCAGAGGAUAUGGAAAAAAGGAACUAAGAGCAAACGAAGCUUCUGUACUAACUAGGAGCCUAGAAGCAUCUCUACAUGCCUAGGCCUCACGGCACUGGGCCCCACAGAAAUCAGCCAAGGGCAGAGGCGAGUGCAGGUUCUACAGCAGCAGGGAGACAGCACAUGGGGGAACUGGCACCCCCGGGACGCUUGAAAGCCUUUACUGUAAAAGCACAGGUACUAAUGCUGUGUCAACAACUCGCCAUGGACAAGUGUCACCAUGCCAGCUUCUGGUCUCAGUACUGAGGAAAAGGACAGGUUUUCCUUCAUGUCUCUUUUGGGGUAUGACUUUUGCCAUUCGAUCACCAUCCUAGCUGGAAGCUUGACUAAUUCUUUGAAGAGAAUGCAUGUAAUGUUUAUAGUGUCUAACACUGUAGAGUGGACGGUCCUUGUAGAAGUCUCAGGUGCGAGCCAGCAUCACAGGCAGACAUGCAAAGAAAUGAGCCUGCUAGUGAUUCCAGUCCUCACCGUUGUGUCACAGCUGUCCCUCAGACUAAGCUAGCUGAAGCCACAGAAAAAAGAGACUAAAAUCGUUUUGCAUAUC
Molecule: long non-coding RNA, 662 nt
Organism: Mastomys coucha (southern multimammate mouse)
Lineage: Eukaryota; Metazoa; Chordata; Mammalia; Rodentia; Muridae
Exons: 3
Source: RefSeq, a predicted model, not a curated record